This 303-nucleotide ribosomal RNA is filed under the name uncultured Tetraedron. RNAcentral's name for it is "partial large subunit ribosomal RNA". It matches the Rfam family "Eukaryotic large subunit ribosomal RNA", at positions 40 to 350 of the family's 3401-position model. The record is from RNAcentral. Lineage: Eukaryota; Viridiplantae; Chlorophyta; Chlorophyceae; Sphaeropleales.
AUAUCACUAAGCGGAGGAAAAGAAACUAACAAGGAUUCCCCUAGUAACGGCGAGCGAACCGGGAAGAGCCCAACUUGAAAAUCUCCCUCUGGAGAAUUGUAGUCUAUAGGAGUAUCCUCUGCCGAAGGCCAAGCCCAAGUCCCCUGGAAAGGGGCGUCAAAGAGGGUGAGAACCCCGUAGGUUUGGUUCCUAGGCUCCACGAGGUGCUUUCACAGAGUCGGGUUGCUUGGGAAUGCAGCCCAAAUUUGGUGGUAAAUCCCAUCUAAGGCUAAAUAUUGGCGAGAGACCGAUAGCGCACAAGUA